UCCGCCAUCGUCUCCGGUGUCGUGGGGGACAUGGUCCGCAGGGCGAUGUCCCUCCUCGCCGGGCAGCUCUUGGACCAGCAGCCAGAGCGAAGCGUCGAGGCCAAGCUGCGGGUCGAGAGCGCCGCGGAGGCCGCCGGGGCGAGGCGGAUCACGAGCCAGGCGCUGCUCUCCUGGCUCGCGGAGAUCGUCGAUGGCGCGUACCGGGGGCGCUACCUCGACGCGUUCCCGGUCCCGAGCGGAGCAAGCGAUCAGGACGACGGCCAUGCUGGCAACAACAAGGUGGUGCCUCUGGCACGCUCUUUCUCCAUGCCUAGCUCGUUCAACCCCGCUAAGCGCCUGCACGUCGCGGCCAUGAAGCUGCUGCUCGGAGACGGCGGCGGCAGCGCCGACGAGCUGGACGGCGUCCUCGCGGACCUGAAAAGCAUCGCCAGCGGUCUCGCAGAGUUCAUCAUGCUGCUGCAGAUGUGCCCGCCGGCGCUGCACCGGCCGGUGGUCACGAGCAUCUACGCGGACAGCCAGAUGUUCGGACGGCACGUCGAGCGACGACGAGUUUUGGAGUUCUUGCUGCAAGAUGACGAGGGCGAGCCGUCGCUGGCAGAGCUAGGCGUCCUCCCUAUAAUCGGCUCCGCCGGCCUGGGGAAGACCACGCUCGUGCAGCACGUCUGCGAGGAGCCCGCGGUGCGCCGCCGCUUCUCGCUAGUCAUGAUGCUAGACUUCCAUUGCAUGAGCCUCAUGGCAGCCGGCGAGACGGCGCUCUUCCUACGCUCUCUGUUCACGCCAAACGCAACCAGCCUCUCCGCCGACGGAGAGCAGAUGAGGCUCCUAGAGCGGAAGCUGCGCGGCGAGAGGUUUCUGGCCGUCUUCGACAACGUCGACCCGCGCAAAAGGCAGGUGGUCGACGCGAUCAUGCCAACCCUGCGGCGCGCCGGCAGGCAAGGGACGGGCACGACACCGAUCGUUCUGCGCCCCCUGCCGCCGGAGGAGUACUGGUUCUUCAGGGCGCACGCGUUCGGUGGCGCCGAGGCGGACCCUCGGCUGGCGGCGGUGGGCCAGGCCAUCGCCAGGAGGCUGGGCCACUCCUUCUUCGGCGGGAAGAUAGUGGGCGCGCUCCUGAGGUCCCGUCCGGUCGCGCGGCUAUGGCUUAGCGUCCUGGGCAGCAGCUUCAGCAUCGCCGACGUGUGGUGCCUCGGCAACGAAGGCUGCGUCGCCGCCGCGGCCGGCAGCCACCUCCCGCGGCAUGUGAUCGUGCGCUGCGUCACCGUCUCUGGCUCGCCGAUGAGAGGGCUCGUCGGAAUCCAAGAGGCCUCUUUGGCUCUUCCUGCUCCUCCUUGUCCAGACGACGGUCUGUGUUCCCUGGCUAGUGGCUACUGCCUGUACUACACUGCCCAUUGCACCAUCGACAGAUAG
RNAcentral lists this ribosomal RNA (1407 nucleotides) under Triticum aestivum (bread wheat). Its description in RNAcentral is "partial small subunit ribosomal RNA". The record is from RNAcentral. Lineage: Eukaryota; Viridiplantae; Streptophyta; Magnoliopsida; Poales; Poaceae.